RNAcentral lists this transfer RNA (91 nucleotides) under Candidatus Methanofastidiosia archaeon. Its description in RNAcentral is "tRNA-Ser". It matches the Rfam family "tRNA". From Rfam's summary of the family: Transfer RNA (tRNA) molecules are approximately 80 nucleotides in length. Their secondary structure includes four short double-helical elements and three loops (D, anti-codon, and T loops). The record is from RNAcentral. Lineage: Archaea; Methanobacteriati; Methanobacteriota; Candidatus Methanofastidiosia. RNAcentral also lists the same sequence under 1 other name.
GCCGAGGUGGCGGAGAUAGGACAAACGCGCCGGCCUUGAGAGCCGGUUCUCCUUUCGGAGAGCUUGGGUUCAAAUCCCAACCUCGGCGCCA